GACGGGACCCGCACAAGCAGCGGAGCAUGUGGUUUAAUUCGAAGCAACGCGAAGAGCCUUACCAGAUCUUGACAUCCAAUUGACCAUCUUUUAAUCGAGAUUUUGCCUUCGGGUACAAUUGAGACAGGUGGUGCAUGGUUGUCGUCAGCUCGUGUCGUGAGAUGUUGGGUUAAGUCCCGCAACGAGCGCAACCCUUGUGUUUAGUUGCAAACAGGUCAAGCUGUGCACUCUAGACAGACUGCCGUGGACAACACGGAGGAAGGUGGGGAUGACGUCAAAUCAUCAUGCCCCUUAUGAUCUGGGCUACACACGUGCUACAAUGGCCGGUACAACGGGCAGCGAAGGAGCGAUCCGGAGCGAAUCCUAAAAAGCCGGUCCCAGUUCGGAUUGCAGGCUGAAACUCGCCUACAUGAAGUUGGAGUUGCUAGUAAUCGCGAAUCAGAAUGUCGCGGUGAAUGCGUUCCCGGGUCUU
This 472-nucleotide ribosomal RNA is filed under the name uncultured Fusibacter sp. Its description in RNAcentral is "bacterial SSU rRNA". It matches the Rfam family "Bacterial small subunit ribosomal RNA", at positions 916 to 1381 of the family's 1533-position model. Lineage: Bacteria; Bacillati; Bacillota; Clostridia; Eubacteriales; Fusibacteraceae. The record is from RNAcentral.